RNAcentral lists this ribosomal RNA (303 nucleotides) under Staphylococcus aureus subsp. aureus IS-M. RNAcentral's name for it is "partial 16S ribosomal RNA". It matches the Rfam family "Bacterial small subunit ribosomal RNA", at positions 1 to 292 of the family's 1533-position model. Lineage: Bacteria; Bacillati; Bacillota; Bacilli; Caryophanales; Staphylococcaceae. The record is from RNAcentral.
UUUUAUGGAGAGUUUGAUCCUGGCUCAGGAUGAACGCUGGCGGCGUGCCUAAUACAUGCAAGUCGAGCGAACGGACGAGAAGCUUGCUUCUCUGAUGUUAGCGGCGGACGGGUGAGUAACACGUGGAUAACCUACCUAUAAGACUGGGAUAACUUCGGGAAACCGGAGCUAAUACCGGAUAAUAUUUUGAACCGCAUGGUUCAAAAGUAAAAGACGGUCUUGCUGUCACUUAUAGAUGGAUCCGCGCUGCAUUAGCUAGUUGGUAAGGUAACGGCUUACCAAGGCAACGAUGCAUAGCCGACC